Long non-coding RNA from Triticum aestivum (bread wheat), 217 nucleotides. RefSeq lists it as uncharacterized. NCBI's taxonomy places the organism in Eukaryota, Viridiplantae, Streptophyta, Magnoliopsida, Poales, Poaceae. The record is from RefSeq and is a predicted model, not a curated record. The transcript has 3 exons.
CUCUUCCGAUCUGAAAUAUUGUAUUCGUCUUCAAGAAAAACAGAAAUUGCGUUUUCAUUAUGGUCUGACAGAACGACAAUUACUUAGAUAUGUACAUAUCGCUGGAAAAGCAAAAAGGUCAACAGGCCAGGUUUUACUACAAUUACUUGAAAUGCGUUUGGAUAAUAUCCUUUUUCGAUUGGGUAUGGCUUCAACCAUUCCUGGGGCCCGCCAAUUA